UGAUGGAGUGAUUUGUCUGGGUAAUUCCGUUAACGAACGAGACAUUGACCUCCUAACUAGCGUCACAAUGCUGCUGUUGUGUGGCAGACUUCUUAGAGGAACUUUGUGUGCGCAGCAUGAGGAAGUUUGAGGCAAUAACA
This 140-nucleotide ribosomal RNA is filed under the name uncultured eukaryote. RNAcentral's name for it is "partial 18S ribosomal RNA". It matches the Rfam family "Eukaryotic small subunit ribosomal RNA", at positions 1299 to 1458 of the family's 1831-position model. The record is from RNAcentral.